CGGGAAUUUUGGGCAAUGGGCGAAAGCCUGACCCAGCAACGCCGCGUGAGGGAUGAAGCAUUUCGGUAUGUAAACCUCGAAAGAAUGGGAAGAAUAAAUGACGGUACCAUUUAUAAGCUCCGGCUAACUACGUGCCAGCAGCCGCGGUAAUACGUAGGGAGCAAGCGUUGUUCGGAUUUACUGGGCGUAAAGGGCGCGUAGGCGGCGCGGUAAGUCACUCGUGAAAUCUCUGAGCUUAACCCAGAACGGCCAAGUGAUACUGCUGUGCUAGAGUGCGGAAGAGGCAACCGGAAUUCUUGGUGUAGCGGUGAAAUGCGUAGAUAUCAAGAGGAACACCUGAGGCGAAGGCGGGUUGCUGGGCCGACACUGACGCUGAUGCGCGAAAGCCAGGGGAGCAAACG
This 401-nucleotide ribosomal RNA is filed under the name uncultured bacterium. Its description in RNAcentral is "bacterial SSU rRNA". It matches the Rfam family "Bacterial small subunit ribosomal RNA", at positions 356 to 774 of the family's 1533-position model. The record is from RNAcentral.